This 407-nucleotide ribosomal RNA is filed under the name uncultured bacterium. RNAcentral describes it as "bacterial SSU rRNA". It matches the Rfam family "Bacterial small subunit ribosomal RNA", at positions 355 to 776 of the family's 1533-position model. The record is from RNAcentral.
UUAGGAAUUUUGCGCAAUGGGCGAAAGCCUGACGCAGCAACGCCGCGUGAGGGAGGAAGGCCUUCGGGUUGUAAACCUCUUUCGGUUGGAAAGAAAAAAAUGACGGUACCAACAGAAGAAGCACCGGCUAACUACGUGCCAGCAGCCGCGGUAAUACGUAGGGUGCAAGCGUUAUUCGGAUUCACUGGGCGUAAAGCGCAUGUAGGCGGUUUGCCAAGUCUGAUGUGAAAUCCCUGGACUCAAUUCAGGAACUGCAUCGGAUACUGGUUUACUCGAGUAUAGGAGGGGAGAGCGGAAUUUCUGGUGUAGAGGUGAAAUUCGUAGAUAUCAGAAGGAACAACGGUGGCGAAAGCGGCUCUCUGGACUAUAACUGACGCUGAGAUGCGAAAGCGUGGGGAGCAAACAGG